GGCAAAGUUGAAUCCAUCAGCAACAUAUAACAAUGCUCAAGAAAUAGCAGCCGGGUCAGAUAUCAUCUUUACGGAUGAUGUUAGCCUUCAAGUAUUCUUUGAGCAUCUUCAGAGGUUGGCUGUGCAGUCUUGAGAAGAGAUGGCUUUCUUGAGGCUUAUAGGAAAAUUCUGAUCGUUCUUGCUGUGGGAAAAUUCACUGAGGGUUAUGUAUAUCUGGUGUGUUGUUGACUUCUUUUCUGGUCUUUCCAUUGUUUUCCAAGUUGAGAAGCCAAUAUUCCCACAUUCUCUCAUUUGAAGAAUAUAUGAGAACACUGAUGAAACAAAAUUCUUUUUUUGGGGGUACAUUCUCGGUCGGCA
This 357-nucleotide unclassified non-coding RNA is filed under the name Hevea brasiliensis (rubber tree). Lineage: Eukaryota; Viridiplantae; Streptophyta; Magnoliopsida; Malpighiales; Euphorbiaceae. The record is from RNAcentral.